CCUACGGGAGGCAGCAGUGAGGAAUAUUGGACAAUGGGCGCAAGCCUGAUCCAGCCAUGCCGCGUGCAGGAAGACGCAUCUAUGGUGUGUAAACUGCUUUUGUACGGGAAGAAACACUCCUUCGUGAAGGAGCUUGACGGUACCGUAAGAAUAAGGAUCGGCUAACUCCGUGCCAGCAGCCGCGGUAAUACGGAGGAUCCAAGCGUUAUCCGGAAUCAUUGGGUUUAAAGGGUCCGUAGGCGGUUUAAUAAGUCAGUGGUGAAAUCUGGUCGCUCAACGAUCAAACGGCCAUUGAUACUGUUAGACUUGAAUUACUAGGAAGUAACUAGAAUAUGUAGUGUAGCGGUGAAAUGCUUAGAUAUUACAUGGAAUACCAAUUGCGAAGGCAGGUUACUACUAGUGGAUUGACGCUGAUGGACGAAAGCGUGGGGAGCGAACAGGAUUAGAUACCCUGGUAGUCCACGCCGUAAACGAUGGAUACUAGCUGUUGGGCGCAAGUUCAGUGGCUAAGCGAAAGUGAUAAGUAUCCACCUGGGGAGUACGUUCGCAAGAAUGAAACUCAAAGAGUAGUACGACGNGAGAGAGCGACGACGACGACGACGGAGGAGGAGG
This 612-nucleotide ribosomal RNA is filed under the name uncultured bacterium. RNAcentral describes it as "bacterial SSU rRNA". It matches the Rfam family "Bacterial small subunit ribosomal RNA", at positions 338 to 1417 of the family's 1533-position model. The record is from RNAcentral.